AUCCUUUCGUAGUUCAUAAGCGUGAUGGUUGGGUGUCUACGCUGUUGUACGACAUGUGCCACCCUUAAACCUUGUUAUGACGCAGGCACAUUACCCAUCUGAUG
Hyaena hyaena (striped hyena) is the source of this 104-nucleotide small nucleolar RNA. RefSeq annotates it as small nucleolar RNA U13. NCBI's taxonomy places the organism in Eukaryota, Metazoa, Chordata, Mammalia, Carnivora, Hyaenidae. The record is from RefSeq and is a predicted model, not a curated record. The transcript has a single exon.